GAGUUUCCAGUUUCCAUUAACUACCAUCUAUGGUCUAUCCUGGCUCCGAUUGUUGCUGUCCAGGUUCUGUUGUACCUUUGCUUUUAGCAGGGAGUACUGGUUCUUACACCGAUUUGUCUCGAAUUUCCGGACUUUGGGAUCACUGAUUUCCUGAUUCGUUCAAUCUUGGCCGGAGUUUCAUCAUUUCUCUUUCUUUCUUGGUUUACUUUGAGACUACAGACUAUCUGUGAGCAAGUUCAACGAGUGAUUAACACUUGCAGCUCAGAACAUAAAUAAUGCGCAUACAAUCUUGGAGCACAAGGGUAAAAUAUCAGUUGUAUUUCCUUGAUUUAUAAGAAGAAAAAACUAUUUUUUCUUCCACAAAAAGACUAUUCCUACCGGUCAGCGCUUAGACUUUCCACACAUGCAACAGUGGUAGUUGCUGGCGGCUGGCGGCUCUAUGUCGCUUUAAAACUGAAGUUGAAAACAAAAGAAAAUGGUAGUUGUCCCUCGCUUUCCUAAAUCUUAAAGUGAUAUUGCGAUAUUGUAAUAGGUUUCUACUCCAAGGAUGGCUGCAGGAACGAGCAGGAAGAUAUCUGCAAGGUCUCACACCAGAAGAGCCAACGAGAGCUCCGGUCCCAGCUUUCCUUCAGGUGAGUUCAAUUUGCUUCCAAAAACUGUACAUUCUAAUUGUUUACACCUUGUUUCUUGAAUCUCUGGUAAAUGUUCAGGGAUCUUUCCUACAGUACUUCUGGUUUUGCUUGCUGUGAUUUUGGCUUGGGGUUAUCAAGCAAUCCAACCACCUC
RNAcentral lists this long non-coding RNA (785 nucleotides) under Linum usitatissimum (flax). Its description in RNAcentral is "long non-coding RNA (LUSI_LNC002242)". Lineage: Eukaryota; Viridiplantae; Streptophyta; Magnoliopsida; Malpighiales; Linaceae. The record is from RNAcentral.